GGGGUGGCAGCGCAGCGCGCGCAGAGAGAAGCACGAAACAGAGGCACCAGUGCCGUCCGGGAGCGGACCAUGCCACGCUCACCCAGGCUCUUCCUGCUGCUGCUUGUGCUGCAGCCGCUGCCAGCCCUGGGCCUCGGGCUCCGCAGCGCAGGCGGACGAAACCCGGAGUGCGGUCCGUGCCGACCAGAGCGCUGUCCCGAGCCCGUGCGCUGCCCGGUGCCUGGCAUCGUGGCGCGCGACGAGUGCGGCUGCUGCGCGCGCUGCCUGGGCGCCGAGGGCGCGAGCUGCGGGGGCCGGGCCGGCGCGCGUUGCGGCCCAGGGCUCGUGUGUGCGAGCCGCGCCGCGGGGGCCGCGCCCGAGGGCACCGGGCUCUGCGUGUGCGCGCAGCGCGGCUCGGUCUGCGGCUCCGACGGCCGGUCGUACCCCAGCGUUUGUGCGCUGCGCCUGCGCGCCCGCCAGGCGCCCCGCGCGCUCCCUGGCCACCUGCACAAGGCGCGCGACGGCCCCUGCGAAUUUGCUCCUGUGGUCAUCACCCCACCCCAGAGUGUUCACAAUGUCACCGGGGCACAGGUGUACCUGUCCUGUGAGGUGAGAGCUGUGCCCACCCCAGUUGUCACAUGGAGGAAGGUCACACGGUCUCCUGAGGGCACCCAGGUAAUGGAGGACCUGCCUGGGGACCACAUCAACAUAGCUGUCCAGGUGCAAGGGGGCCCUUCUGACCAUGAGGCCACGGCCUGGGUUUUGAUCAACCCUCUGAGGAAGGAAGAUGAGGGGGUGUACCAGUGCCAUUCAGCCAACGCAGUCGGGGAGGCCCAGUCGCAUGGCACGGUGACCGUGGUGGAUCGGAGUCAGUACAGAGCACCCCGCUUCCCAGCUCCAGAUGACCGCCUGUGAUGGGGGCACGUGCGUGUUUCGAGUCAUCUGAGUUUGUACACCUCUGUCACAAGAGGGUCUUAGAAACUUGAUCACAGGAUGACGGAAAAGUCAAGUCAUGGAUCAUUUCACUUUGUGAAGAAUUAGAAAAACUGUGUUUGUAGAUGACCCCUUUUGUAUGUUUUUAAACAUUAGAUGCAAACUAGAUUCGUAUGCAGAUGUAGUUUUUAGCAGGGCAAACACACCUUGGGAAAACAGACUGCAUGUAGCCUUUUUAUACUUGUGAAAUGAACAGCUCUGUGAGAAUUCUUUUUUAGCUUCUCCCUCCAAGGGAAGGUCACAUUUAAGUCCAUGUAAUUCUACAGGGCUGGGCCAAAGUGUGUGUCAGCUGUGACUCUGCCUCAUUUGUCCACGGUUGAUUAGUGGAGCUCUGUGACAGACAGUGUGUGUUUUAGGAUGGGGAAGGUCUUGCUGUCCUCUGCCUGACCUCUAACUUGCUGUGUGAUCUGGAUAGGUCCCUCCCUCUCUGGGCCUUGGUCUCUUCAGCUGUGAAUGUGCUAUUUGGACUGUAUGUAACCUAUGUCCUUUCAAACACUGCCAUCCUGGAGUAAGAUGGUCCUACAGAAAAAAUAUGAGAAGUGUAGUCUUAGCAUUCUUUUAAAAAUAUUCCCUCAAAAACAAAUAUAUUGCUUCACAUGAGGGUGUGGAGAGCUGGCUAUAGCUUAUCUAUUCCUGCUAUUUUCCCAUUUUAAAGAGAUUUAGUCCUAGAUGGAACACUUAACCAGGCUCAGAGGCUGGGUAUUUGGGGACUAAGAUAUCCACUUAUUAACAAGCCCAGCAUUCUCUAACCAAGCAGGCAGUGGAGACCUGGCUUUUGGACAUCAGAUUGUAAAAAAAGGAGUCAACUGCUCUCUCUGGACUGUAGAUUAGAGUGUAGUAAAGUAUAUUUUACUUAGAGAUGUUCUGAGGUCACCCAGAAACAAAACUUGCUUGUUUUUUUCUUAAGAAAGACGGAGAGUAAUAUCUGGCUAAAGAAAUAGAUCCCCUGGGUGACGAGUAAAAUUCUUUAAAAUCAAAAUUGAGAUCUCACAUGUGGAUAGCUGUUAAAUUUCACGAAACGCUUCUCUGUCUGUGGUUACUUUCCAUCUCUGGGAUGGCAGGUAGGAUGCGCACUAAUGUCCCUCCCCCUUUACAGAUGAAGAAACCAAGCUCUGAGAGUACAGUGCUUGCCUGAGGUCUGAAAGCCUCUGAGAAGGACUGGAGCUGAGGGCGCCUGGUCCUCUUUGGCACCCUUUCCACUCCAUGGUGCUACUUCUCAGAACAAUUUGUAUCCAUGAGAAGGAAGAUGCUGCCAGUUCCAUGGGUUUCAGGGAUUCUCCUCGGGGUCUGUCUCAACUUUUAAACCAACACUCUCAUGACGCUCACUUUGAGCAUUGCAUUUUGGAGUCUUUUUGGAAUUGCAUUUUCUUCCUUUAAGCCUGGCUAUUCCACAUCUGAACUGUUGGGGUGGCAUCACCCUAAUGAACACAGCAUAGGACUGUCCCGGGACUCCAGAAACAUGAGGUUCAUUUGGGAAUGCGUCCCUAUCUUUCUGGGUGACCCUGAGCAAGUCCCCUUCACUUUCUGGACCUCAGUUUCCUCAUGUGAAUAAGAAGGGAAUGAAACUAGAUCAGUGGUUUUCAAACUUUAAAACAUUGGAACCCCUUCUUUGAAUAAAGUCAGAACUGAAACUGA
Bubalus bubalis (water buffalo) is the source of this 2607-nucleotide RNA transcript. It is a transcript of the gene named insulin like growth factor binding protein like 1, with no coding region annotated. The transcript has 5 exons. The record is from RefSeq and is a predicted model, not a curated record. Lineage: Eukaryota; Metazoa; Chordata; Mammalia; Artiodactyla; Bovidae.